This 497-nucleotide ribosomal RNA is filed under the name uncultured Lachnospiraceae bacterium. RNAcentral describes it as "partial 16S ribosomal RNA". The record is from RNAcentral. Lineage: Bacteria; Bacillati; Bacillota; Clostridia; Lachnospirales; Lachnospiraceae.
CACGUAGGUAGCCGGGGCUUCUUAGUCAGGUACCGUCAUUUUCUUCCCUGCUGAUAGAGCUUUACAUACCGAAAUACUUCAUCGCUCACGCGGCGUCGCUGCAUCAGGGUUUCCCCCAUUGUGCAAUAUUCCCCACUGCUGCCUCCCGUAGGAGUUUGGGCCGUGUCUCAGUCCCAAUGUGGCCGGUCACCCUCUCAGGUCGGCUACUGAUCGUCGCCUUGGUGGGCCGUUACCCCGCCAACUAGCUAAUCAGACGCGGGCCCAUCUCAUACCACCGGAGUUUUUACCGCUGUACCAUGCGGUACCGCGGUCUUAUGCGGUAUUAGCAGUCAUUUCUAACUGUUAUCCCCCUGUAUGAGGCAGGUUGCCCACGCGUUACUCACCCGUCCGCCGCUCAGUCAGACUGCUUCGCCUCCGAAGAUUUAAAGCAGAAUGCUUCGCUCGACUUGCAUGUGUUAAGCACGCCGCCAGCGUUCAUCCUGAGCCAGGAUCAAACU